UAGGGGUUCUGAGAGGAAGGUCCCCCACACUGGUACUGAGACACGGACCAGACUCCUACGGGAGGCAGCAGUGAGGAAUAUUGGUCAAUGGCCGGGAGGCUGAACCAGCCAAGUCGCGUGAGGGAAGACGGCCCUACGGGUUGUAAACCUCUUUUGUCAGGGAGCAAGAGGCGGGUCGAGACCUGCUGUGAGAGUACCUGAAGAAAAAGCAUCGGCUAACUCCGUGCCAGCAGCCGCGGUAAUACGGAGGAUGCGAGCGUUAUCCGGAUUUAUUGGGUUUAAAGGGUGCGCAGGCGGAGGCACAAGUCAGCGGUAAAAUCGCGGGGCUCAACCCCGCUCCGCCGUUGAAACUGUGUCCCUUGAGUGCGCGAAGGGUAGGCGGAAUGCGUGGUGUAGCGGUGAAAUGCAUAGAUAUCACGCAGAACUCCGAUCGCGAAGGCAGCCUACCGGCGCGCAACUGACGCUCAUGCACGAAAGCGUGGGUAUCGAACAGGAUUAGAUACCCUGGUAGUCCACGCAGUA
Molecule: ribosomal RNA, 522 nt
Filed under: uncultured bacterium
Lineage: Bacteria
Description: bacterial SSU rRNA
Rfam family: Bacterial small subunit ribosomal RNA
Source: RNAcentral